CCUACGUGUGACAGCAGUGAGGAAUAUUGGUCCAUGGGCGCGCGCCUGAACCAGCCAAAUAGCGUGAAGGAUGACUGCCCUACGGGUUGUAAACUUCUUUUAUAAAGGAAUAAAGUGAGGCACGUGUGCCUUUUUGUCUGUACUUUAUGAAUAAGGAUCGGCUAACUCCGUGCCAGCAGCAGCGGUAAUACAGAGGAUCCGAGCGUUAUCCGGAUUUAUUGGGUUUAAAGGGAGCGUAGAUGGGUUGUUAAGUCAGUUGUGAAAGUUUGCGGCUCAACCGUAAAAUUGCAAUUGAUACUGGCAGUCUUGAGUACAGUUGAGGUAGGCUGAAUUCGUGGUGUAGCGGUGAAAUGCUUAGAUAUCACGAAGAACUCCGAUUGCGAAGGCAGCUUACUAAACUGCCACUGACAUUGAUGCUCGAAAGUGUGGGUAUCAAACAGGAUUAGAUACCCUAGUAGUC
RNAcentral lists this ribosomal RNA (460 nucleotides) under uncultured bacterium. RNAcentral's name for it is "partial 16S ribosomal RNA". It matches the Rfam family "Bacterial small subunit ribosomal RNA", at positions 338 to 795 of the family's 1533-position model. The record is from RNAcentral.